Molecule: transfer RNA, 71 nt
Filed under: Ips grandicollis
Lineage: Eukaryota; Metazoa; Arthropoda; Insecta; Coleoptera; Curculionidae
Description: tRNA-Asp
Source: RNAcentral
AAAAAUUUAGUUAAACUAUAACGUUAGCUUGUCAAGCUAAAAUUAUUAUUAUUAAUAUUUAAUAAUUUUUA